RNAcentral lists this ribosomal RNA (1348 nucleotides) under metagenome. RNAcentral describes it as "bacterial SSU rRNA". It matches the Rfam family "Bacterial small subunit ribosomal RNA", at positions 173 to 1498 of the family's 1533-position model. The record is from RNAcentral.
UUUAUAAACCACAUGGUUAUUGGAUUAAAGAUGACCUUUUUUUGAAAGUUAUUGUUUAGAGAUGGACUUGCGGAUAUUAGCUUGUUGGUGGGGUAAUGGUUUACCAAGGCUGCGAUGGUUAGCCGACCUGAGAGGGUGAUCGGCCAUAUUGGGACUGAGAUACGGCCCAGACUCCUACGGGAGGUAGCAGUAGGGAAUUUUGCGCAAUGGACGAAAGUCUGAUGUAGCAACUUCGCGUGAGGGAUGAAGGCCUUUGGGUUGUAAACCUCUGUUGAGUGGGAAGAAAAAGCCUUAUAUUAAUAUUAUAAGGCUAUGAUGGUACCAUUCGAGGAAGCAUCGGCUAACUACGUGUUAGCAGCCGCGGUAAUACGUAGGGUGCUAGCGUUGUUCGGAAUCACUGGGCGUAAAGGGAGCGUAGGCGGAAAGGUAAGUUAGAAGUGAAAUGUAUUGGUUUAAUUGGUAAUUUGCUUUUAAUACUGCUUUUCUUGAGUAUUGGAGAGGAGGAUGGAAUUCCAGGUGUAGUGGUGGAAUGUGUAGAUAUCUGGAAGAAUAUUAGUUGUGAAGGUGGUCAUCUGGCCAAAUACUGACGCUGAGGCUCGAAAGCUAGGGGAGUGAAUAGGAUUAGAUAUCCUGGUAGUCCUAGUUGUAAAUGAUGGACACUAGAUGCCGGAAGUGUUAUGCUUUCGGUGUCGAAGUUAAUGUAUUAAGUGUCCCGCCUGGGGAGUACGCUCGCAAGGGUGAAACUCAAAGGAAUUGACGGGGGCCCGCACAAGCGGUGGAGCAUGUGCUUUAAUUCGAUGCAAUGUGAAGAAUUUUACCUGGUCUUGACAUGGGAGUGAAAUUUUCCAGAGAUGGAAAGUUUUCCUUCGGGAACACUCCACACAGGUGUUGCAUGGUUGUCGUCAGCUCGUGUUGUGAGACGUUGGGUUAAGUUUCGCAACGAGUGCAACCCCUAUCCUUAGUUGCCAUCAGGUAAUGUUGGGAACUUUAGGGAGAUUGUUUGGAUUAAUUAGGAGGAAGGUGGGGAUGACGUCAAAUUCUCAUGGCCCUUACGACCAGGGUUAGACACGUGCUACAAUGGGCGGUACAACGGGAUGCUAACUCGUGAGAGUAUGUUAAUCCCUUAAAACCGUUUUCAGUUCGGAUUGGAGUCUGUAAUUUGACUCCAUGAAGGUGGAAUCGCUAGUAAUUGCGGAUUAGUAUGUCGCGGUGAAUACGUUCCCGGGCCUUGUACACACCGCCCGUCAAGCCAUGAAAGAUGGUAGUACCCGAAGUCGUUUUUCUAACCCGUAAGGGAGGAAAACGCCGAAGGUAAGACUAUUGAUUGGGGCUAAGUCGUAACAAGGUA